CUUAUCUUCCCUUCAAUCAGCCUCUUAUUUCUCUCAUCUUCUUCCUCUUUUUUUUUCCUUUGGUUUUUGUCUUUUAUUUUGACCGAGAGCAACAAGAAGAACAACAAUGGUCUGGAUUUUUUUACUUAAGAAAUUACAGUAUUACGGGUCUCCUCCGGCCUCAAGAGGGUUAAGAAAAUGGCAAACAAAAGCAGGAGAACGGAAAGCCAGUGGUCCAAGCAGAAAAGAUGUUUUUUUUUUUAAAAGAGAGAGGGUGCGACGCUAUGAUUUCACUUUGAAAGUGUGAGACCAUUAUAAUUCAUAGCAUCAGUGGUGCAGAAGAAAUCAGAGUAUCAAGAGUCUCCUCCGGACUCAAGAUCCUUAAGGUUUCAUCUGGGCAUGACAAGUUUCAUGAGAUCUAUGUUCUCGACGGAGAGGUGAAUGGCAUAUGAUUCAAGUUCAACAUUCCAGUUCGUGGUCCAAAGAGCACGAUCAGUUGCCGUUGAAGCAGCUGUUGGAAGCUCUAUUGCCUUGCAGUAAUUUUUCGAAUCAUUUCCAGAUUUCGAUCUGGGAAGUGAUAGACCAUUGAUUUACUUGCAUAAGCCUCUUAAGUUUUUCUCAAUUGUUGGUUUUGGCUUUAAUUUCAAAAUUUUUUGUUUUGACAGACCAUCGAUUUCCUAUUCAGGAUUAUGGUAUAGUGGUGCUUUUUCUCUGUUUUCGUGUAUGUUGUCUUCUCUGCAGUUCUCUUCCACUUCAGCAUCAGUUUUACUGUAAUUGGUCUUGCUCCUGAUUUUUUUUUUUUUGGUUUCUAUGUUUUCAGGUCAUAGAUUCUAUAACAUAUUGUUCAUAUUUUAGGUUUAAAUAGUUUGGUGGAUGAUUUGCAUGUAUUUCAUUUACAUUGCCUUGCAUUAAAGCUCUUGCCUUUGUUGUCUUUUGGCAGAUAGCUUUCUAAUUUAGUGCCAGGUGGCCUAUGUUUGCUUAUUUGUUUUAAUCUUUCCCAUGUAUGGAAUGUUUUAGAAAAAAAUAUUAUGAAAUUAGGUUCUCUUGUACCACUAAGUUGCCUUUGCAUUAAACUUACUCUUUGAUUUUGCUUUUCAGGACCAACUGGUUAUUCAAUGUUGAAAGAUUGCAUAGGGUUCAUAUAGAGUGAUCAAUUUUUGAGGUAACCCUUUUUUGAUCCGUCUCCACUGUUUAAUUAUCUACUUUUUUGUGUUUUUCAUGUUUUGAUUUUCCCCAACUCUUCUAUUCCUGACAUACCUACUCUUAAUGAAUAAGUUACUUGUGAUGGCUUUUUUUUCGCAUGUUUUCCAAAAAUUGACUGUCUUAUGGGCCUAGGUGGUUAGAUGAAAAGUCUGAACUUUUGGAGGUUGAGCAAGGCAAAUGUUCCAUGACCUUAGAUACAGUGAACGUUAUAGGUUAUAAAGACAGCCGGAGCAUCUAGAUAUCUCAAGCCUUUUCAAUUUCAACAUUUUAUUAAGUAAGGUGGAAGAAGACGAUGCUUGGAAGCAAGUGAUAAGUGAUUAUGAUAUAGGCUUUGAGAUUCAAUUCUGAUAACGCUUCAGUAUUUUUGUUCACUUGAAGCUUUUCUAAUAUUGUUUGAUUUUUAAUUGUAGUAAUACUCUUUCAUAUUACAGCAAUUAUUUAAAAAUUAAGUUUAUGGCAUUUUGUAGCCUGAUUCAUGUCU
This is a non-coding RNA of Coffea arabica (coffee), 1663 nucleotides long. NCBI's taxonomy places the organism in Eukaryota, Viridiplantae, Streptophyta, Magnoliopsida, Gentianales, Rubiaceae. The record is from RefSeq and is a predicted model, not a curated record.